RNAcentral lists this ribosomal RNA (244 nucleotides) under uncultured bacterium. Its description in RNAcentral is "partial 16S ribosomal RNA". It matches the Rfam family "Bacterial small subunit ribosomal RNA", at positions 524 to 767 of the family's 1533-position model. The record is from RNAcentral.
UACGUAGGGUGCAAGCGUUAAUCGGAAUUACUGGGCGUAAAGCGUGCGCAGGCGGUUUUGUAAGUCUGAUGUGAAAUCCCCGGGCUCAACCUGGGAAUUGCAUUGGAGACUGCAAGGCUAGAAUCUGGCAGAGGGGGGUAGAAUUCCACGUGUAGCAGUGAAAUGCGUAGAGAUGUGGAGGAAAACCGAUGGCGAAGGCAGCCCCCUGGGUCAAGAUUGACGCUCAUGCACGAAAGCGUGGGGA